This 217-nucleotide ribosomal RNA is filed under the name uncultured bacterium. RNAcentral describes it as "partial 16S ribosomal RNA". It matches the Rfam family "Bacterial small subunit ribosomal RNA", at positions 328 to 539 of the family's 1533-position model. The record is from RNAcentral.
ACGCUCGACACCUACGGGGGGCAGCAGUGAGGAAUAUUGGUCAAUGGACGCAAGUCUGAACCAGCCAUGCCGCGUGCAGGAUGACGGCUCUAUGAGUUGUAAACUGCUUUUGUACGAGGGUAAACGCAGAUACGUGUAUCUGUCUGAAAGUAUCGUACGAAUAAGGAUCGGCUAACUCCGUGCCACAGCCGCGGUAAUCUGAGCGGGCUGGCAAGGC